This is a long non-coding RNA of Callorhinus ursinus (northern fur seal), 663 nucleotides long. RefSeq lists it as uncharacterized. Lineage: Eukaryota; Metazoa; Chordata; Mammalia; Carnivora; Otariidae. The record is from RefSeq and is a predicted model, not a curated record.
AUUAUAAGGCCAUAAGGUAUUGGCUCACAUAAUUAUGAAGGCUGGGAAGUCCCAUGAUCUGUCAUCUGCAAGCUAGAGACCUAAGAAAGCCAGUGUGUAGCUCCAAAACCGAAAAGCAGGAGAGCCCAUGGUGUACAUUUCCCUUCUAAGUGUGGAGGCCCGAGAACCAGGAGCACCAAGGGCAGAAGAUUGAUGUCUCAGGUCAGCCAAUCAGGUCAACAUUGGUUUCAACCUUCCUCUGCCUUCCUUGUUUUGCUGAGCCCAUCAGUGGAUUGGAUGAUGCCCACCCACAAUGGGAAGGGCCACCUGCUUUACUCAGACCAUGGAUUCAAAUGCUUACAUUUUUCAGAAACAUCCUCACAGACGCACCCAGAAAUCACGUCUAGCCCGGGUACCCUCUUGCCAGGUCAAGCUGACACAGAAAUUAACCAUCACACCUGGACUUUCCAGAAAUAUAAGUCAUGAAAGGUUGCCUCAUUGACCAAGAUAGCUGCUUGAGCACCAGCUACCACUUCAGUCUUCCAUGAAGAUUGGAAAGCAACAGAAAAGCCUUUCCUCUCUGUCUCCAUUUGAAGGAGCUUUUCUAGAAAUCCUUCUAUAUCACUUCCACUUACAUUUCAAUUUCCCAAACUUAAUAACAUGGUCAUACCUAGCUAUGAAAAA